Molecule: unclassified non-coding RNA, 520 nt
Filed under: uncultured Glomus
Lineage: Eukaryota; Fungi; Glomeromycota; Glomeromycetes; Glomerales; Glomeraceae
Description: SSU rRNA
Rfam family: Eukaryotic small subunit ribosomal RNA
Source: RNAcentral
AGCAGCCGCGGUAAUUCCAGCUCCAAUAGCGUAUAUUAAAGUUGUUGCGGUUAAAAAGCUCGUAGUUGGAUUUCGGGAUCAAUAUAUCGGUCGUGCCUUCGGUACGUACUGGUAUCAUUGGUUUCUCCUUUCUGACGAACCAUGAUGUCAUUAAUUUGGUGUUAUGGGGAGUUAGGACUGUUACUUUGAAAAAAUUAGAGUGUUUAAAGCAGGCUUUAGCUUGAAUACAUUAGCAUGGAAUAAUGAAAUAGGACGUUCGAACCUAUUUUGUUGGUUUCUAGGAUCAACGUAAUGAUUAAUAGGGAUAGUUGGGGGCAUUAGUAUUCAAUUGUCAGAGGUGAAAUUCUUGGAUUAUUGAAGACUAACUAUUGCGAAAGCAUUUGCCAAGGAUGUUUUCAUUAAUCAAGAACGAAAGUUAGGGGAUCGAAGACGAUCAGAUACCGUCGUAGUCUUAACCAUAAACUAUGCCGACUAGGGAUCGGAUGAUGUUAAUUUUUUAAUGACUUUCAUUCGGCGCCUU